Molecule: ribosomal RNA, 490 nt
Filed under: uncultured bacterium
Lineage: Bacteria
Description: partial 16S ribosomal RNA
Rfam family: Bacterial small subunit ribosomal RNA
Source: RNAcentral
AUUGAACGCUGGCGGCAUGCUUUACACAUGCAAGUCGGACGGCAGCGGGGUAGUGCUUGCACUACUGCCGGCGAGUGGCGAACGGGUGAGUAAUAUAUUGGCACGUACCGAGUUAUGGGGGAUAACCAAUCGAAAGAUUGGCUAAUACCGCAUACGCUCUGAGGCGGAAAGCAGGGGACCUUCGGGCCUUGCGUUAUUCGAGCGGCCAAUAUCUGAUUAGUUGGUUGGUGGGGUAAGGGCCUACCAAGGCGACGAUCAGUAGCGGGUCUGAGAGGAGGGUCGGCGACCUGGGAACUGAGACACGGCCCAGGCUCCUACGGGAGGCAGCAGUGGGGAAUUUGAGACAAUGGGCGCAAACCUGGUCCAGCCAUGCCGCGUGUCUUAAGAAGGCCUUCGGGUUGUAAAGGACGUUUGUGAGGGAAGAAAAAGGAGCGGUUAAUACGCGGUUCUGCUGACGGUACCUAAAGAAUAAGCACCGGCUAACUACGUG